This 556-nucleotide ribosomal RNA is filed under the name uncultured bacterium. RNAcentral describes it as "partial 16S ribosomal RNA". It matches the Rfam family "Bacterial small subunit ribosomal RNA", at positions 355 to 900 of the family's 1533-position model. The record is from RNAcentral.
UAGGGAAUCUUCCACAAUGGACGCAAGUCUGAUGGAGCAACGCCGCGUGAGUGAAGAAGGUUUUCGGACCGUAAAGCUCUGUUGUUGGUGAAGAAGGAUAGAGGUAGUAACUGGCCUUUAUUUGACGGUAAUCAACCAGAAAGUCACGGCUAACUACGUGCCAGCAGCCGCGGUAAUACGUAGGUGGCAAGCGUUGUCCGGAUUUAUUGGGCGUAAAGCGAGCGCAGGCGGAAGAAUAAGUCUGAUGUGAAAGCCCUCGGCUUAACCGAGGAAUUGCAUCGGAAACUGUUUUUCUUGAGUGCAGAAGAGGAGAGUAGAACUCCAUGUGUAGCGGUGGAAUGCGUAGAUAUAUGGAAGAAUACCAGUGGCGAAGGCGGCUCUCUGGUCUGCAACUGACGCUGAGGCUCGAAAGCAUGGGUAGCGAACAGGAUUAGAUACCCUGGUAGUCCAUGCCGUAAAACGAUGAGUGCUAAGUGUUGGGAGGCUUCCGCCUCUCAGUGCUGCAGCUAACGCAUUAAGCACUCCGCCUGGGGGAGUACGACCGCAAGGUUGAAAC